CCUACGGGAGGCAGCAGUGGGGAAUAUUGGACAAUGGGGGGAACCCUGAUCCAGCGACGCCGCGUGAGUGAAGAAGUAUUUCGGUAUGUAAAGCUCUAUCAGCAGGGAAGAAAGACAUGACGGUACCUGACUACUACGCCCCGGCUAAAUACGUGCCAGCAGCCGCGGUAAUCCGUAGGGGGCAAGCGUUCUCCGGAUUUACUGGGUGUAAAGGGAGCGUAGACGGCGAUGCAAGUCUGGAGUGAAAGGCGGGGGCCCAACCCCUGGACUGCUUUGGAAACUGUAUGGCUGGAGUGCAGGAGAGGUAAGUGGAAUUCGUGGUGUAGCGGUGAAAUGCGUAGAUAUUAGGAGGAACACCAGUGGCGAAGGCGGCUUACUGGACUGUAACUGACGUUGAGGCUCGAAGGCGUGGGGAACAAACAGGAUUAGAUACCCGGGUAGUC
RNAcentral lists this ribosomal RNA (443 nucleotides) under uncultured bacterium. RNAcentral describes it as "partial 16S ribosomal RNA". It matches the Rfam family "Bacterial small subunit ribosomal RNA", at positions 338 to 795 of the family's 1533-position model. The record is from RNAcentral.